Molecule: ribosomal RNA, 253 nt
Filed under: uncultured prokaryote
Description: partial 16S ribosomal RNA
Rfam family: Bacterial small subunit ribosomal RNA
Source: RNAcentral
GACGUAGGGGGCGAGCGUUGUUCGGAAUUACUGGGCGUAAAGCGUGCGUAGGCGGACUUAUAAGUCAAGGUUGAAAUAUCCGGGCUCAACUCGGGGCACGGCCUUGAUACUGCAAGUCUUGAGUCAAGUAGAGGGUAAUGGAAUUCCCGGUGUAGCGGUGAAAUGCGUAGAUAUCGGUAGGAACACCUGUGGCGAAGGCGGUCUCCUGGGGCAGACUUGACGCUGAGGCGCGAAAGCUGGGGGAGCGAACGGG